UACAGAGGUCUCAAGCGUUGUUCGGAUUCAUUGGGCGUAAAGGGUGCGUAGGUGGCGAUGUAAGUCUGGUGUGAAAUCUCGGGGCUCAACCUCGAAAUUGCAUUGGAUACUGCGUUGCUUGAGGAUUGUAGAGGAGAGUGGAAUUCACGGUGUAGCAGUGAAAUGCGUAGAUAUCGUGAGGAAGACCAGUUGCGAAGGCGACUCUCUGGGCAACUCCUGACACUGAGGCACGAAGGCCAGGGGAGCAAACGGG
RNAcentral lists this ribosomal RNA (253 nucleotides) under uncultured bacterium. RNAcentral's name for it is "partial 16S ribosomal RNA". It matches the Rfam family "Bacterial small subunit ribosomal RNA", at positions 524 to 776 of the family's 1533-position model. The record is from RNAcentral.